This 235-nucleotide long non-coding RNA is filed under the name Elaeis guineensis (African oil palm). RNAcentral's name for it is "long non-coding RNA (EGUI_LNC064918)". The record is from RNAcentral. Lineage: Eukaryota; Viridiplantae; Streptophyta; Magnoliopsida; Arecales; Arecaceae.
GACAUCUCCACAUCUGGGUUUUCAUUGCUGUGGAUCGAAUUCAAGAUGCCAAAAUUCUAACAAUCUUCACCUUGACUCAACAUUUGGCUUCCACCUAACUUUGAGAGCUUCUAGAUCUUUUCACCCCCAUAUCCUAGGGCAAACACCUUGUAACACCCCACCCCUAAUUACCGAGCGAGAGUGCUACACCCCACCUUUAAAUAAGAGUGAAUCCACCCUUAGAUAAGGGCAAAGA